GGAUGAACGCUGGCGGCGUGCUUAACACAUGCAAGUCGAACGAAGCACUUUAUUUGAUUUCCUUCGGGACUGCUUAUUUUGUGACUGAGUGGCGGACGGGUGAGUAACGCGUGGGUAACCUGCCUUGUACAGGGGGAUAACAGUUGGAAACGGCUGCUAAUACCGCAUAAGCGCACGGCAUCGCAUGAUGCAGUGUGAAAAACUCCGGUGGUAUAAGAUGGACCCGCGUUGGAUUAGCUAGUUGGUGAGGUAACGGCCCACCAAGGCGACGAUCCAUAGCCGACCUGAGAGGGUGACCGGCCACAUUGGGACUGAGACACGGCCCAAACUCCUACGGGAGGCAGCAGUGGGGAAUAUUGCACAAUGGGCGAAAGCCUGAUGCAGCGACGCCGCGUGAGCGAAGAAGUAUUUCGGUAUGUAAAGCUCUAUCAGCAGGGAAGAUAAUGACGGUACCUGACUAAGAAGCACCGGCUAAAUACGUG
This 482-nucleotide ribosomal RNA is filed under the name uncultured bacterium. Its description in RNAcentral is "partial 16S ribosomal RNA". It matches the Rfam family "Bacterial small subunit ribosomal RNA", at positions 27 to 507 of the family's 1533-position model. The record is from RNAcentral.